UUAACGGUCCUGGCUUCAAAUUUAUGGGCCUACGAUUGAACCAGAGGCAUUUUCACCACAUAUCCCAAUUCAAAUCUCGCGCCUGGAGUUUACCACACUUCCACUAAUCAAGGAGACGCAUUCAUUCCAAGCUCUUCCAACCAAAAUAGAGAACAUCACUUGUCUCGACAAGUCAUAGAGUUGACGAACGCCCUCGUACAACAUACGACCUUGGUGAAUCAACUCUUAUAGCACACCGAGAUGCAACGUUCCCCAUACAAGGUGUCCCAAAGUAGGCAAUGGCAGAUGAAGAACCUCUCUAGCAGCGUCCUGGUAAGCAGCUACUUGACUAGUCACGAGCCGAGCUUUCAGGCAGUGUACACUUCCAAUUGGGCACCUGAGAUAGCGUAUACUCCCGUCUUAGCACGCGGAGGAGUGCACACUUUCGACUAGGCCCACAAACGAGCAUACAUUCACGGUUGGGGCCACACUUCGAUAGUCAACAUGAGCAACCUUCCAGGCGAAGUGUUCAUUCGCGGCUAAGCCUGCAAAGAGCAUCUUCCACCUCACAUCGAAGUAGGUAGUGCAACGGAUGGUGAGAAGUAGUCACUCAAUCUGGCUCAAGUUCAACCAGCAGUCUGCGAAGAAUUCCCUUACCUACGAGGAACAGACCACAUACACUGUUGUCGUGACAUAGAUGAGCCGAGCACGUAAAAGGGCAACCUAGACUAGCAAGUCAAAACUGGGGGUAGCCGAGAGCUCCGUUACCCCAACAAAAACAAAUUUAGGAAAAGGUAAGAGGUUCUUAAACGAGCGAUUGCGUGAUUUCUAAUGCAAUGAAGUGGCCAAUGAAGCACUACGACAUGACCAACAUGAGCAUGUCCCUUUCGCAGGAGAUCGAGCGGGCAAAGCCUCCACGCAAGUUUAGCAUUCCAUAUUUCACAUCUUUCAAAGGAGAUGGAGAUUCGAAGAGGUACUUGAAGCAUUACCGAAUCACAAUGGUC
Molecule: long non-coding RNA, 983 nt
Filed under: Malus domestica (apple)
Lineage: Eukaryota; Viridiplantae; Streptophyta; Magnoliopsida; Rosales; Rosaceae
Description: long non-coding RNA (MDOM_LNC006749)
Source: RNAcentral